GGAGUUAGCCGGUGCUUCUUCUGCGAGUAACGUCACAGAUGUAAGGUAUUAACUUACACCCUUUCCUCCUCGCUGAAAGUGCUUUACAACCCGAAGGCCUUCUUCACACACGCGGCAUGGCUGCAUCAGGGUUUCCCCCAUUGUGCAAUAUUCCCCACUGCUGCCUCCCGUAGGAGUCUGGGCCGUGUCUCAGUCCCAGUGUGGCUGAUCAUCCUCUCAGACCAGCUAGGGAUCGUCGCCUAGGUGAGCCUUUACCUCACCUACUAGCUAAUCCCACCUGGGCUUAUCCAUCAGCGCAAGGCCCGAAGGUCCCCUGCUUUCCCCCGUAGGGCGUAUGCGGUAUUAGCAGUCGUUUCCAACUGUUAUCCCCCACAAAUGGGCAAAUUCCCAGGCAUUACUCCACCCGUCCGCCGCUCGUCAUCUUACAAACGACAAGCUUUAGUAAAUAGUUACCGUCUCGUACUUCGCAUGUUGUUAGGUCCGUCGCCGCCGACGCGUUCUAUCUGAGCCAGAAUACAACUACUG
Molecule: ribosomal RNA, 525 nt
Filed under: uncultured bacterium
Lineage: Bacteria
Description: partial 16S ribosomal RNA
Source: RNAcentral